RNAcentral lists this ribosomal RNA (494 nucleotides) under uncultured Streptococcus sp. RNAcentral's name for it is "bacterial SSU rRNA". It matches the Rfam family "Bacterial small subunit ribosomal RNA", at positions 8 to 484 of the family's 1533-position model. Lineage: Bacteria; Bacillati; Bacillota; Bacilli; Lactobacillales; Streptococcaceae. The record is from RNAcentral.
AGAGUUUGAUCCUGGCUCAGGACGAACGCUGGCGGCGUGCCUAACACAUGCAAGUAGAACGCUGAAGAGAGGAGCUUGCUCUUCUUGGAUGAGUUGCGAACGGGUGAGUAACGCGUAGGUAACCUGCCUUGUAGCGGGGGAUAACUAUUGGAAACGAUAGCUAAUACCGCAUAACAAUGGAUGACACAUGUCAUUUAUUUGAAAGGGGCAAUUGCUCCACUACAAGAUGGACCUGCGUUGUAUUAGCUAGUAGGUGAGGUAACGGCUCACCUAGGCGACGAUACAUAGCCGACCUGAGAGGGUGAUCGGCCACACUGGGACUGAGACACGGCCCAGACUCCUACGGGAGGCAGCAGUAGGGAAUCUUCGGCAAUGGGGGCAACCCUGACCGAGCAACGCCGCGUGAGUGAAGAAGGUUUUCGGAUCGUAAAGCUCUGUUGUAAGUCAAGAACGAGUGUGAGAGUGGAAAGUUCACACUGUGACGGUAGCUUACC